UACGGAGGAUGCAAGCGUUAUCCGGAAUGAUUGGGCGUAAAGCGUCCGCAGGUGGCAAUGUAAGUCUGCUGUCAAAGCGUCUGGCUCAACCAGAUAAAGGCAGUGGAAACUACAUAGCUAGAGUAAGGUAGGGGUAGAGGGAAUUCCUGGUGUAGCGGUGAAAUGCGCAGAUAUCAGGAGGAACACCAAUGGCGAAGGCAGCUCGCUGGGACGGUACUGACGCUGAGGCGCGAAAGCUAGGGGAGCAAACAGG
RNAcentral lists this ribosomal RNA (253 nucleotides) under uncultured bacterium. RNAcentral describes it as "partial 16S ribosomal RNA". It matches the Rfam family "Bacterial small subunit ribosomal RNA", at positions 524 to 776 of the family's 1533-position model. The record is from RNAcentral.